Long non-coding RNA from Nicotiana tabacum (common tobacco), 1008 nucleotides. RefSeq lists it as uncharacterized. Lineage: Eukaryota; Viridiplantae; Streptophyta; Magnoliopsida; Solanales; Solanaceae. The record is from RefSeq and is a predicted model, not a curated record.
AAGAGCGCAGAAGCAGCUCACCGUCGAUAUCCCUGCUUAGACACAGGGGUAUUUAAGUAUUUUCGCAUAGCUUUUGUGUUCCCUGCGCUUACACGUGUGCUGAAUUUUGGUGAGUAAGCGGGCUAUGAGAUAUUUGUCGAUGUUUUCUAUGAAAUUUCAUCGGAUUUUACUUAGCUCCAUCAUCUCUUCUCCUCUAUAUCGUCUAUCGAGUUUUCUCCGUGAGCCUUUGCUGGAUUUCUCAAUAACAAUACGUCUGGUUGUAUCAUUGUGAAGAAAUGGUGUUUAUAACAACAUAAAGCCACCUGUAGCUUAAGCCCCAAAGUUAACUCCUUCUCACUGUUAUAUUGAUAAAAUGGAAGAAAGAUUUAGCAUCAGUGAAAUUGCACCACUAACUACAGAAUGGACUUGCAAAGUCCAGGCUGUAGACAAAUUUCGACCGCGAUACAACAGAGAUUAGCAAGUUCGUUUUCAGACAAUAAUUGUCCAGGAUGAAAGCGAGGAAAAAAUUUGUGUAAUACUGUAUGGUGACGACAUUAGACGAUGUGAUAACUUGUUCGAACUUUUUGAGAUGUAUCUGAUUUCAACUGCCAAGGUUAGAAAUCCGCAGCCUUAUUCACUACAUAUCAACCAGUUUGAAUGGGUCGUCGACAGGUUCAUGGAGUCUAUGCCAAAGAAUAAUGAAAAGGAGGCACCGUUACCUCCUCCGUCGAGACUGAGUACCAUGACGUUCCUCGAUGUUGAACAAUAGCAUUGCGGUGUUGAAUUUGAUCUAUUAGCCGUGGUGGCAAACUGUGGGGCAAUGCAAUACACCUUUGAUCAGACUAAGAGAUUUCAAGAGGCCAUAGUUAUGGACAACAUGUGAAGUCAUUUAAUCUUCUAUUACAUAACAAAAUCUCUAGCUGACACUUCCAAAUGUACAGGAAGAAACCUAUUUUCUUCACUAUAUAGGAAGACUUGGCAAGCAAUGAAGGAACUGAGUUACUGAGACAAGUAAGGCAACUACAAGAA